CCAAUAGCGUAUAUUAAAGUUGUUGCAGUUAAAAAGCUCGUAGUUGAAUUUCGGGGUUAGUAAGCUGGUCGUGCCACUGGUAUGUACUGGUUUUACUGAUCUCUCCUUCUUGUAGAACCGUAAUGCCAUUAAUUUGGUGUUGCGGGGAAACAGGACUGUUACUUUGAAAAAAUUAGAGUGUUUAAAGCAGGCUAACGCUUGAAUACAUUAGCAUGGAAUAAUGAAAUAGGACGUUCGAUCCUAUUUUGUUGGUUUCUAGGGUUGACGUAAUGAUUAAUAGGGAUAGUUGGGGGCAUUAGUAUUCAAUUGUCAGAGGUGAAAUUCUUGGAUUUAUUGAAGACUAACUACUGCGAAAGCAUUUGCCAAGGAUGUUUUCAUUAAUCAAGAACGAAAGUUAGGGGAUCGAAGACGAUCAGAUACCGUCGUAGUCUUAACCAUAAACUAUGCCGACUAGGGAUCGGAUGAUGUUAAUUUUUUAAUGACUCAUUCGGCGCCUUACG
Molecule: ribosomal RNA, 500 nt
Filed under: uncultured Glomeromycotina
Lineage: Eukaryota; Fungi; Glomeromycota
Description: partial small subunit ribosomal RNA
Rfam family: Eukaryotic small subunit ribosomal RNA
Source: RNAcentral